GGUUAAGCGACUAAGCGUACACGGUGGAUGCCCUGGCAGUCAGAGGCGAUGAAGGACGUGCUAAUCUGCGAAAAGCGUCGGUAAGGUGAUAUGAACCGUUAUAACCGGCGAUGUCCGAAUGGGGAAACCCAGUGCAAUUCGUUGCACUAUCGUUAACUGAAUACAUAGGUUAACGAGGCGAACCGGGGGAACUGAAACAUCUA
RNAcentral lists this non-coding RNA (203 nucleotides) under Klebsiella pneumoniae. RNAcentral's name for it is "partial 23S ribosomal RNA". It matches the Rfam family "Bacterial large subunit ribosomal RNA", at positions 1 to 204 of the family's 2925-position model. The record is from RNAcentral. Lineage: Bacteria; Pseudomonadati; Pseudomonadota; Gammaproteobacteria; Enterobacterales; Enterobacteriaceae. RNAcentral also lists the same sequence under 1 other name.